AUUCUGGUGGUGAUGGCAUUGGAGAAUGGAGCUUACUUAGGCUGGCCUGUAGGUGAGGAAUGGCUGAACACCCUGAGCCAGAUCUUUAUCUUGAUUGUAAAGACAAUAUUUCCUGACCAGCUGGAGCU
This 128-nucleotide long non-coding RNA is filed under the name Macaca nemestrina (pig-tailed macaque). RNAcentral describes it as "SMAD5 antisense RNA 1 conserved region 3 (ENSMNEG00000014475.1)". It matches the Rfam family "SMAD5 antisense RNA 1 conserved region 3". Lineage: Eukaryota; Metazoa; Chordata; Mammalia; Primates; Cercopithecidae. The record is from RNAcentral.